This 539-nucleotide ribosomal RNA is filed under the name Boana sp. gr. albopunctata PSS-2021. RNAcentral describes it as "partial large subunit ribosomal RNA". It matches the Rfam family "Bacterial large subunit ribosomal RNA", at positions 1931 to 2620 of the family's 2925-position model. Lineage: Eukaryota; Metazoa; Chordata; Amphibia; Anura; Hylidae. The record is from RNAcentral.
CCGCGGUAUCCUAACCGUGCGAAGGUAGCGUAAUCACUUGUUCUUUAAAUGAGGACUAGUAUGAAUGGCACCACGAGGGUUAAGCUGUCUCCUUUUUCUAAUCAGUGAAACUAAUCUCCCCGUGAAGAAGCGGGGAUCACCCUAUAAGACGAGAAGACCCUAUGGAGCUUAAAACAAAUUAACACCUGCUUCUAUCCACUCUCCUUCCUGAGUUAACACAUAAAAUAUAGCACCCUUGAUUAAUAGUUUUCGAUUGGGGUGAUCAUGGAGCAAAAACCAACCUCCACGACGAAAAGGAGCACUUCCCUGAGCUAAAAGCUACAACUUUAAGCACUAAAAAAUUAACGCACUUUGACCCAAAUUUUUGAGCAACGAACCAAGUUACCCUAGGGAUAACAGCGCAAUCCAUUUCAAGAGCCCCUAUCGACAAGUGGGUUUACGACCUCGAUGUUGGAUCAGGGUAUCCUAGUGGUGCAGCCGCUACUAACGGUUCGUUUGUUCAACGAUUAAAACCCUACGUGAUCUGAGUUCAGACCGGA